This 394-nucleotide ribosomal RNA is filed under the name uncultured bacterium. RNAcentral's name for it is "partial 16S ribosomal RNA". It matches the Rfam family "Bacterial small subunit ribosomal RNA", at positions 523 to 916 of the family's 1533-position model. The record is from RNAcentral.
AUACGUAGGGGGCAAGCGUUAUCCGGAUUUACUGGGUGUAAAGGGAGCGUAGACGGCAAAGCAAGUCUGAAGUGAAAGCCCCGGGCUCAACCCGGGAAUUGCUUUGGAAACUGUUUAGCUGGAGUGCAGGAGAGGUAAGCGGAAUUCCUAGUGUAGCGGUGAAAUGCGUAGAUAUUAGGAGGAACACCGGAGGCGAAGGCGGCUUACUGGACUGUAACUGACGUUGAGGCUCGAAAGCGUGGGGAGCAAACAGGAUUAGAUACCCUGGUAGUCCACGCCGUAAACGAUGAUUACUAGGUGUUGGUUGUCAUAGACAAUCGGUGCCGCAGCAAACGCAAUAAGUAAUCCACCUGGGGAGUACGUUCGCAAGAAUGAAACUCAAAUGAAUUGACGG